ACUCCUACGGGAGGCAGCAGUGAGGAAUAUUGGUCAAUGGACGCAAGUCUGAACCAGCCAUGUCGCGUGCAGGAAGACUGCCCUAUGGGUUGUAAACUGCUUUUAUACGGGAAGAAAUAUAGCUACGUGUAGUUAUUUGCCGGUACCGUAUGAAUAAGCAUCGGCUAACUCCGUGCCAGCAGCCGCGGUAAUACGGAGGAUGCGAGCGUUAUCCGGAUUCAUUGGGUUUAAAGGGUGCGUAGGCGGAAGUAUAAGUCAGGGGUGAAAGUUUGUGGCUCAACCAUAAAAUUGCCUUUGAUACUGUAUUUCUUGAGUACAUUUGAGGUAGGCGGAAUGUGUUGUGUAGCGGUGAAAUGCUUAGAUAUAACACAGAACACCGAUUGCGAAGGCAGCUUACUAAACUGUAACUGACGCUGAUGCACGAAAGCGUGGGGAUCGAACAGGAUUAGAUACCCUUGGAGCACAGAG
RNAcentral lists this ribosomal RNA (468 nucleotides) under uncultured bacterium. RNAcentral describes it as "bacterial SSU rRNA". It matches the Rfam family "Bacterial small subunit ribosomal RNA", at positions 335 to 799 of the family's 1533-position model. The record is from RNAcentral.